RNAcentral lists this ribosomal RNA (1372 nucleotides) under uncultured bacterium. RNAcentral describes it as "bacterial SSU rRNA". It matches the Rfam family "Bacterial small subunit ribosomal RNA", at positions 28 to 1381 of the family's 1533-position model. The record is from RNAcentral.
GAUGAACGCUGGCGGCGUGCCUAAUACAUGCAAGUCGAGCGAACGGACGAGAAGCUUGCUUCUCUGAUGUUAGCGGCGGACGGGUGAGUAACACAUGGAUAACCUACCUAUAAGACUGGGAUAACUUCGGGAAACCGGAGCUAAUACCGGAUAAUAUUUUGAACCGCAUGGUUCAAAAGUGACAGACGGUCUUGCUGUCACUUAUAGAUGGAUCCGCGCUGCAUUAGCUAGUUGGUAAGGUAACGGCUUACCAAGGCAACGAUGCAUAGCCGACCUGAGAGGGUGAUCGGCCACACUGGAACUGAGACACGGUCCAGACUCCUACGGGAGGCAGCAGUAGGGAAUCUUCCGCAAUGGGCGAAAGCCUGACGGAGCAACGCCGCGUGAGUGAUGAAGGUCUUCGGAUCGUAAAACUCUGUUAUUAGGGAAGAACAUAUGUGUAAGUAACUGUGCACAUCUUGACGGUACCUAAUCAGAAAGCCACGGCUAACUACGUGCCAGCAGCCGCGGUAAUACGUAGGUGGCAAGCGUUAUCCGGAAUUAUUGGGCGUAAAGCGCGCGUAGGCGGUUUUUUAAGUCUGAUGUGAAAGCCCACGGCUCAACCGUGGAGGGUCAUUGGAAACUGGAAAACUUGAGUGCAGAAGAGGAAAGUGGAAUUCCAUGUGUAGCGGUGAAAUGCGCAGAGAUAUGGAGGAACACCAGUGGCGAAGGCGACUUUCUGGUCUGUAACUGACGCUGAUGUGCGAAAGCGUGGGGAUCAAACAGGAUUAGAUACCCUGGUAGUCCACGCCGUAAACGAUGAGUGCUAAGUGUUAGGGGGUUUCCGCCCCUUAGUGCUGCAGCUAACGCAUUAAGCACUCCGCCUGGGGAGUACGACCGCAAGGUUGAAACUCAAAGGAAUUGACGGGGACCCGCACAAGCGGUGGAGCAUGUGGUUUAAUUCGAAGCAACGCGAAGAACCUUACCAAAUCUUGACAUCCUUUGACAACUCUAGAGAUAGAGCCUUCCCCUUCGGGGGACAAAGUGACAGGUGGUGCAUGGUUGUCGUCAGCUCGUGUCGUGAGAUGUUGGGUUAAGUCCCGCAACGAGCGCAACCCUUAAGCUUAGUUGCCAUCAUUAAGUUGGGCACUCUAAGUUGACUGCCGGUGACAAACCGGAGGAAGGUGGGGAUGACGUCAAAUCAUCAUGCCCCUUAUGAUUUGGGCUACACACGUGCUACAAUGGACAAUACAAAGGGCAGCGAAACCGCGAGGUCAAGCAAAUCCCAUAAAGUUGUUCUCAGUUCGGAUUGUAGUCUGCAACUCGACUACAUGAAGCUGGAAUCGCUAGUAAUCGUAGAUCAGCAUGCUACGGUGAAUACGUUCCCGGGUCU